UUUGCGUGUGCUAUGACUUAAGCUCGUUUUAAAAUGGAGAUCUCCUCUCAUUUCAGACUAUUUUAGAAAAUCUGGAUCUUUCUGUGCCAUUUCAAAUCAGCGUUCAGACUGUUGGUUCUUCUGGUUUGGUUUCUGAGAAGAUGAAUGUUCAAUAUAGUUGUCCUUUAAUGAAAAAGGAAACUUCAUCAUUUGCCUCUAGUGAUUUCCCUGAAGACGAAAAGCCUGAUGCCAGCUCCCAUGAGGUGAAUGGAAGGCAAGGUUUAGCUCCAUUGUCUUCCUUGAAGAAAUUAAUUUUGGAUGACCAAAGAAACUAAAGAAAAUACAGUGAAGGUACAGCACCCAAGGGAAGAAUGAAUCAAACGUAAAGAAAAAGCAAUGAAGUGCUGAAGGUAUCACAAAGGGUGUAUCUAGCCUGGCAGCUUCCACAGCUGCUUCACUAAGGAAAAAGCUGAGCAGCAACAAUGACUUACUGACCCUCAUCCUUCACUGGAAGUUGCUGAUGCAAACCAGUCAAAUAUAGAUGUUUUACAGAAUCUUAAUAUUUUAAUGCAUUUUUAGGAAAUUCUCAUGUUUUGCUCUAUUCCCAACCAUUGCAUGCCUAUAUAUGUGGUUAUAGGGAGCUUGCAUAUAUGAGGGUCACCGGGGACCUCAAUCCUACUGGCUUUUAUGGGAGUUCAGGGUGCAUAGCACCUCUCAGGAUACAGCAGUAGAUGGACUCAUUUUUCAAGGUGCCGAUUGCCUUCAACAUCCACUGGAGUAAGUGUCAUACUCAUCCCAGAUCUAUAGGCACUCAGAAGUGGGAAGGAUUGUGCCCUAUGGCCUUAUUUCAGUAAAGCACACGAGCACAUACUUACCUUCAACCCUGUGAGUAAUCCCUUUGAACUUUA
This 887-nucleotide long non-coding RNA is filed under the name Gopherus agassizii (Agassiz's desert tortoise). RNAcentral describes it as "lncRNA (ENSGAGG00000005960.1)". Lineage: Eukaryota; Metazoa; Chordata; Testudines; Testudinidae. The record is from RNAcentral.